RNAcentral lists this ribosomal RNA (549 nucleotides) under Triticum aestivum (bread wheat). RNAcentral's name for it is "partial small subunit ribosomal RNA". The record is from RNAcentral. Lineage: Eukaryota; Viridiplantae; Streptophyta; Magnoliopsida; Poales; Poaceae.
AUGGCAAAAUGUCCUUCGGUUGUUACGGGGUUAAAGAUGUUGGUAAAAAAAUAUCGGACGUGUUUGCCGGACAUGCUUAAGGUCCUGUACAUUAAUUCAGACACACUGUCUAGCAAUCUUGGCUAUCUGUAUUCUGUAGCACCCAAAAUUAGGAAAUACCGAGCGGAGCAGGCUGUGUGCUCCUUCCUGCUCUUUCUGCAAGGCUGCUCCUUUUUUCUGCAAGGCUGCUCCUUCCUCUUGGAGGAACACCGAGCGGAGGAGGCUGUGUGCUCCUUCCUGCUCUUUCUGCAAGGCUGCUCCUUUUUUCUGCAAGGCUGCUCCUUCCUCUUGGAGGAACACCGAGCGGAGCAGGCUGCUCGCCGAGGAGACUCUCACAUUAGGUGGGAUCAACCACAAAUUUCAUAUUUAGGCAUUGUAAAAAAUUCUGAAAUUAUUUUACAACUACCUGUAGGGUAUGUUUACAACUCCAAAAAUACCAGCUCAAAACUUGAUGUACAUUUAGAGCUUCAAAAAAGACAUUUGAAUGUGAAUAGUGGCAGCAUUGGGUGA